UCAAACAGCGACUUAGUGAUGGAACUC
This 27-nucleotide non-coding RNA is filed under the name Homo sapiens (human). The record is from RNAcentral. Lineage: Eukaryota; Metazoa; Chordata; Mammalia; Primates; Hominidae.